Molecule: ribosomal RNA, 506 nt
Filed under: uncultured bacterium
Lineage: Bacteria
Description: partial 16S ribosomal RNA
Rfam family: Bacterial small subunit ribosomal RNA
Source: RNAcentral
AGUGAACGCUGGCGGUAGGCCUAACACAUGCAAGUCGAACGGCAGCACAGGAGAGCUUGCUCUCUGGGUGGCGAGUGGCAGACGGGUGAGGAAUACAUCGGAAUCUACUUUUUCGUGGGGGAUAACGUAGGGAAACUUACGCUAAUACCGCAUACGACCUACGGGUGAAAGCAGGGGAUCUUCGGACCUUGCGCGAUUGAAUGAGCCGAUGUCGGAUUAGCUAGUUGGCGGGGUAAAGGCCCACCAAGGCGACGAUCCGUAGCUGGUCUGAGAGGAUGAUCAGCCACACUGGAACUGAGAAACGGUCCAGACUCCUACGGGAGGCAGCAGUGGGGAAUAUUGGACAAUGGGCGCAAGCCUGAUCCAGCCAUACCGCGUGGGUGAAGAAGGCCUUCGGGUUGUAAAGCCCUUUUGUUGGGAAAGAAAUCCAGCUGGUUAAUACCCGGUUGGGAUGACGGUACCCAAAGAAUAAGCACCGGCUAACUUCGUGCCAGCAGCCGCCGUAA